GACGAACGCUGGCGGCGUGCUUAACACAUGCAAGUCGAACGGAAAGGCCCUGCUUUUGUGGGGUGCUCGAGUGGCGAACGGGUGAGUAACACGUGAGUAACCUGCCCUUGACUUUGGGAUAACUUCAGGAAACUGGGGCUAAUACCGGAUAGGAGCUCCUGCUGCGUGGUGGGGGUUGGAAAGUUUCGGCGGUUGGGGAUGGACUCGCGGCUUAUCAGCUUGUUGGUGGGGUAGUGGCUUACCAAGGCUUUGACGGGUAGCCGGCCUGAGAGGGUGACCGGCCACAUUGGGACUGAGAUACGGCCCAGACUCCUACGGGAGGCAGCAGUGGGGAAUAUUGCACAAUGGGCGGAAGCCUGAUGCAGCAACGCCGCGUGCGGGAUGACGGCCUUCGGGUUGUAAACCGCUUUCGCCUGUGACGAAGCGUGAGUGACGGUAAUGGGUAAAGAAGCACCGGCUAACUACGUGCCAGCAGCCGCGGUGAUACGUAGGGUGCGAGCGUUGUCCGGAUUUAUUGGGCGUAAAGGGCUCGUAGGUGGUUGAUCGCGUCGGAAGUGUAAUCUUGGGGCUUAACCCUGAGCGUGCUUUCGAUACGGGUUGACUUGAGGAAGGUAGGGGAGAAUGGAAUCCCUGGUGGAGCGGUGGAAUGCGCAGAUAUCAGGAGGAACACCAGUGGCGAAGGCGGUUCUCUGGGCCUUUCCUGACGCUGAGGAGCGAAAGCGUGGGGAGCGAACAGGCUUAGAUACCCUGGUAGUCCACGCUGUAAACGGUGGGUACUAGGUGUGGGGUCCAUUCCACGGGUUCCGUGCCGUAGCUAACGCUUUAAGUACCCCGCCUGGGGAGUACGGCCGCAAGGCUAAAACUCAAAGGAAUUGACGGGGCCCCGCACAAGCGGCGGAGCAUGCGGAUUAAUUCGAUGCAACGCGUAGAACCUUACCUGGGUUUGACAUGGAUCGGGAGUGCUCAGAGAUGGGUGUGCCUCUUUUGGGGUCGGUUCACAGGUGGUGCAUGCCUGUCGUCAGCUCGUGUCGUGAGAUGUUGGGUUAAGUCCCGCAACGAGCGCAACCCUUGUUCACUGUUGCCAGCACGUUAUGGUGGGGACUCAGUGGAGACCGCCGGGGUCAACUCGGAGGAAGGUGGGGAUGACGUCAAGUCCUCAUGCCCCUUAUGUCCAGGGCUUCACGCAUGCUACAAUGGCUGGUACAGAGAGUGGCGAGCCUGUGAGGGUGAGCGAAUCUCGGAAAGCCGGUCUCAGUUCGGAUUGGGGUCUGCAACUCGACCUCAUGAAGUCGGAGUCGCUAGUAAUCGCAGAUCAGCAACGCUGCGGUGAAUAAGUUCCCGGG
This 1343-nucleotide ribosomal RNA is filed under the name uncultured bacterium. RNAcentral describes it as "16S ribosomal RNA". It matches the Rfam family "Bacterial small subunit ribosomal RNA", at positions 28 to 1378 of the family's 1533-position model. The record is from RNAcentral.